RNAcentral lists this long non-coding RNA (1385 nucleotides) under Dermacentor andersoni. RNAcentral describes it as "uncharacterized LOC126544299". Lineage: Eukaryota; Metazoa; Arthropoda; Arachnida; Ixodida; Ixodidae. The record is from RNAcentral.
UGUAGCCGUGCCCUUUCAGUAGCCCAGACUUUCACCGCGACGCUGCACAACGUAUAUCCGUCUGUACCGGCAACGGAUACUCUUCUCAAGCCUAGCCUGCCCAUCUGACCAGUUCAACUUAAAAACCGGUACGUCUGCACAUUCUACAAGGACACCUCAGCGCCAGCGUUACAGGGAACAAGACGCCCACUGCUUUGACCUCCGUGGCUUUGUCCAACAGCCUCGGUUUUGCCCAAGCCAUCGACCAACGCCCUAUCUGAAGUCGAGUAUCCCUAAGCCGCUUUUAGUGUUCGCGAUGUCAUCUGCAGACUUGGACGUGUUGUGCUCCCACCUUUCGAGCAUGUCAGCAGACACGCUGCAUUCUUUGGAUGAUAAAGGCCUUAACCUUCCGAAAGUCAGUGGAAUGUCCGUCGCAGAGGGCGUCAAUGCUAUCCGCGUCCACCUGGAAGCUAUGCGCGUCAUGAAGAACCGCCUGUCCUCCAUGGCCCGGAUAUACUGCUACCUGAUAGAGCUAAGCGUCCUACAGCCAUGGGUAGUUUAUCGUAUGGACCAUGUAUGCAGGAACUACGGUACUCAUUUUGGCAAAAUGAUGAUCCACCUGCAGCGCGGACGCGAGGUGGGGUUUCACACUUUGACGACUGUACCACACGCCUACUCCUGCUUGUUGACCCAGGACGAAGAGAGAGCGACUGAGCACAGGCUGUACUGCUUCUGCAUGUGGCCUUCGCUACCGUGCUUGGCCGUCUAUCAACCGCCAGAGGGGCGUUCAGCUCUCCUCACGCGUACGCUCCGAAGGUUCUUGCGGGGAGAUCCCGACUCGUUCACUUGCGGCACGUAUCGUGACCUGGUGUCGGCGGCUGAUGGAGCCCGAAUAUUUUUUCCCGGCCACUCCUAAAGACUGCGUUGCAUCCCUUCAACCACCGGCACAGCCAGCUCAAUCGCCAUCCAACCAGAGACCUUGUUCUCACAAAGACGAAGUCAUUUGACGGACCAAAAAAAGACGGCAAACAAGUUUUAAUUGGGCAAGGCAUGCCACAGAGGCUUUACCCAAGCAUGGAAUUUGAAGUCCGACGCCAACCACAGCUCUUACAUGCGCGCAUGCUACGAAAGAAACUGGUAUUGGAGGCUUCACCAACGCCUUCUGGAAAGCGGGAAGACUGAUUUUCCAAUGCGCUCACGUUGAGCGUCCAUAACCUGUUUUGGCAGAGUAGGAUUUCCUGCAACGACCACAAACAAGUGCUUCGGUUCUUUUUUUUAGACUCGUAUACAUGACGUGGCCACAUAUGCGCCGCCAAAGUUUUACAACAUGCGUGCCAUCAACGUUCUGUUUAGGCACACAGAAGAGGCACACAUUAAAUUUCCAAUAAAAAAUAUGUUGCCUCGUU